Molecule: long non-coding RNA, 510 nt
Filed under: Manacus vitellinus (golden-collared manakin)
Lineage: Eukaryota; Metazoa; Chordata; Aves; Passeriformes; Pipridae
Description: lncRNA (ENSMVIG00005013385.1)
Source: RNAcentral
AGAUGAAGAUGGUCCCCUUUUGAGACAAGCUCAAAGGAACAGAAGGUGAAGACAAAAGAAGAGAGACUUAUAGCAGCAAGAAGAAAGGGAAGAGGCACAUCAGUAAAUCUUGGAUUCUGUGAAUUCUCAUUGUUAACUGGUUUGAACUGCUGUGGAAUAGUAGAAUAUCUCAGGGAUAUUAACUCUGACGUUGCAGGAUAGAAAGUUCUGGUCUUCAUGAAUGGACCCACUAUAAAACAGAGCAGAAGGUUAUCUUAUUUUUGAAACACUCUGGCAUAACAACUUUUACAGCGGUGCCAAAUGCUGGACAACAAUGAGAGUGGCUGAGAAGACAAAUGGAAAGAAGAAAGCAAAGGAAAAGGGUUAACUUUGGCUGCCUCUUUAAGAAACUCUGCCAUUUCCAAGUGACUAUUUUAUAAUUGUCUCUGAGAUAUCAGCAGACACCACGAGUGAUGUAUAUGUAGCAUGUGAGUUGCCUGCUGUAUGUGGAAAACUGCCUAGGGAGGGAUU